GAAAGAGAGUUAAAAAGCACGUGAAAUUGUUAAAAGGGAAGGGAUUGCAACCAGACUUGCU
Molecule: ribosomal RNA, 61 nt
Filed under: Chloropicon mariensis
Lineage: Eukaryota; Viridiplantae; Chlorophyta; Chloropicophyceae; Chloropicales; Chloropicaceae
Description: partial Eukaryotic large subunit ribosomal RNA
Source: RNAcentral